This 462-nucleotide ribosomal RNA is filed under the name Nocardiaceae bacterium 'ARUP UnID 490'. Its description in RNAcentral is "partial 16S ribosomal RNA". It matches the Rfam family "Bacterial small subunit ribosomal RNA", at positions 27 to 506 of the family's 1533-position model. The record is from RNAcentral. Lineage: Bacteria; Bacillati; Actinomycetota; Actinomycetes; Mycobacteriales; Nocardiaceae.
GGACGAACGCUGGCGGCGUGCUUAACACAUGCAAGUCGAGCGGUAAGGCCCUUCGGGGUACACGAGCGGCGAACGGGUGAGUAACACGUGGGUGAUCUGCCUCGCACUCUGGGAUAAGCCUGGGAAACUGGGUCUAAUACCGGAUAUGAGCMKYSKSUGCAUGSSKGWKGUUGGAAAGGUUUACUGGUGCGAGAUGGGCCCGCGGCCUAUCAGCUUGUUGGUGGGGUAAUGGCCUACCAAGGCGACGACGGGUAGCCGGCCUGAGAGGGCGACCGGCCACACUGGGACUGAGACACGGCCCAGACUCCUACGGGAGGCAGCAGUGGGGAAUAUUGCACAAUGGGCGAAAGCCUGAUGCAGCGACGCCGCGUGAGGGAUGACGGCCUUCGGGUUGUAAACCUCUUUCGACAGGGACGAAGCGCAAGUGACGGUACCUGUAGAAGAAGCACCGGCUAACUACGU